UCUAGCUUUUGCCAUCCAGUGCAUGUAAAGGGAAAGCACGAUGUUUUCAUCUGUGUUUCCGGGAUGACUCGUGGGUCCAAUGUGGCUUUAUUUACUCGAUGCCUCUUUGGAUCUUUCUGUCAACUGACCGUUGGAUGCUUCGUCCUCUGUUGUGGUUGUCGCCUUCUGGUUGCUGCAAGACUCCUUCUGAAUUGCCAGCCCAGGACGGCACGACACCUUCCUCCAGAGCUUCCUCCGCUCCUCCUGUGCUCUGUGCUUGUGUCCGUGGUGCACGCUGAAGAGAAACCCGUAUCUUCUAUGUCCUCGAGCACACGUUCUCUGUGUGUGUGGGCAGAGUUUUUUCCUUCUAAUGAGGCAGUUAUUUUUCUCUGGAAGAAGACUGGGGCCGUUGGCACAGAAAACCUGAGCUCUCCCUGCAGAAUAUCCACACAGUUUCCAGUUUUGAAGCUAAAAAUGUACCAGAACAUAGAGCAAUGUUCCAACGCCCAACACCUCCUAAGAGCCACUCUGGUCGACUUCUUUUCUCCCGUGGGCUUUCCUCGCCACUCUGCCUGGUGGGGGCUCGUCCUCUGGUUUUUGUUAAUAAAGCUUUAUUGGCA
This 599-nucleotide long non-coding RNA is filed under the name Ursus maritimus (polar bear). RNAcentral describes it as "lncRNA (ENSUMAG00000014540.1)". Lineage: Eukaryota; Metazoa; Chordata; Mammalia; Carnivora; Ursidae. The record is from RNAcentral.